RNAcentral lists this ribosomal RNA (494 nucleotides) under uncultured bacterium. RNAcentral describes it as "partial 16S ribosomal RNA". It matches the Rfam family "Bacterial small subunit ribosomal RNA", at positions 28 to 507 of the family's 1533-position model. The record is from RNAcentral.
GACGAACGCUGGCGGCGUGCUUAACACAUGCAAGUCGAACGGAAAGGCCUGCUUUCCCUUGUGGAUUGCGGGUACUCGAGUGGCGAACGGGUGAGUAACACGUGAGUGAUCUGCCCCCAACUUGGGUAUAGGCCUGGGAAACUGGGUCUAAUUCCCGAUAGGACUGCAGGGUGGUGCCUGUGGUGGAAAACGAUUUUCUAGUGGUUGGGGAUGAGCUCGCGGCCUAUCAGCUUGUUGGUGGGGUAAUGGCCUACCAAGGCGGCGACGGGUAGCCGGCCUGAGAGGGUGGACGGCCACAUUGGGACUGGGAUACGGCCCAGACUCCUACGGGAGGCAGCAGUGGGGAAUAUUGCACAAUGGGCGGAAGCCUGAUGCAGCGACGCCGCGUGGGGGAUGACGGCCUUCGGGUUGUAAACUCCUUUCGACCGCGAGGAAGCCACCUGGUUGGAAGGGUGGUGACGGUAGUGGUAGAAGAAGCACCGGCUAACUACGUG